CUUAAGGCUCGUACAGACUACAUGACUUUAAAACGUUGGUCCGAACUGUGCGGUUCACACUACAUGACUUGCUCUCUGUGAAAUCAGGAGUGUUCACGUUGUUGAGCAGUUCACACCACACGACAUAACGUGACUGCCCCACAACAGGAGGUAACGCACUACACGAGUUGAGAACAACUCUAUCACCCGGCGAUUCUACCUUGUCCACAAACCACGUUUUGUCACGAAAAAUCACGCGAUAAAACAAACCGGAAAUGACGCGAAACAACACGCGCACCAGUAAACCCACAGAAGAAGAAUGAAGACGACGCGCAAAACUUUUGUUUGUAUAUAUAGACUUCAUACAGAAAUUCGUGCUGCAAACCGUUUGCGCGAUGCAAAGCCGCAAAAGAAAAAAAUGAAGAGAUGUGUAUGUGGAGAGGUGGAUCAACACCACACGCGGACAGCAGGGAUUUAAGAGUUGCAGAAUAGGACAGGCUUCGCAAAGCAUGACUUGGAGAGCGUUUGUCUUUGACCCUGCGAUUCUAUGCAACAGGUGACACGUUCAAGUCCCUCAGGUUCAAGUCCAGGAUGGGGGACCAGCACCAUCCCACAAAUAGUUUUGGAUACCUGUUCUGUACCAGGUUAUAAAGGACGAUUUCUUGAAGACACCAUCAACGGAAGGAGAGUGGCAUAGCCGUGGACUUCGAAAGGAAGUGGCAGUUUCCACAUUGCUUUGGGGUACUUGCUACCACUCCAGCUGUAGCAGACUGCUGACCAAAACAUGGUUGAUGGGCAAUGGAAGAAUCGUGGGACGGGUGCUUUUCAACCGAUGAACACCACCUCACAUCGCAAUUGUAUGGCAACAGCAAAAGUGCAACGCAAUCUGAUGCGGGACUACUUUGUCUCACCAGCGUGUAGUGUUUAUUGGCAAGUUCAACACAUUUUAAAAGGAACUGAUGUAGAGUUAUCCCUGCAAACAGCAGAUUAAAGCCAGUUAUUGUCAGUUUAGGACAUUCGUUUUCUUGUGUGUUCUAAAGUCCUGUAUUUGUAAAGAACACUAUGUGGUUCACUUUUUCAUUGUUUUAAGUAUUCUGUUUAUUGUUGUGUUAUUAUUCAAUUAAUUUUAAUUGCAUACAAAUCAAAAGGUGCAGGAAUGUAACAAAUAAAAGCAAUCUGCAUGUUGCAAUUAAGUGCCUUAUACUAACUUUAUUUCGUGAUCCACACUCAUUAUUCACAGAACAUUAACAAUGUUUCUAUACUACGGCGCUAAACAUCCACAUAUCUGAUCAUGAUAAAAUUUAUGGGGAUUGUGAUGAUAAGCUCUGGGCAUUUUUACUCAAUGUGGAUUAAUCUAACAGCCAAUCACACACAAUUAUAUUACGAUAUUUAUAUAUCACCCAGCCCUUAAAAGGGCUCUACAUAGGGAUUUUUGUAAUGUUUAAUUGUGUUAAUGUGGUGCACUGCACGUGUUCUAACAAUGUAUAUUUUGUCUGUCCACAUAAUAUACAUUCAAAUGUACUACAUUGUUUUCAAGUUGCACAAACAACAAUGCAAGGCUAUAAAGCACUAUUCAUAUUGGCGUUUUUUGUAAAAUAUGACAAUGUGUUUUAUACUUUUAUACUUUGUUGCAUUAAAUGUAUUACUUUCGAUAGACCAUUUAUUUCAUGAAACAGCACUGGGAAAUUCAAUCUAAACCCUUCAACAAGUUUAAUCACCUUAUUGAUAAAUGUAAUACAUAGUAAAGUCAAUAGUUUGUAAACAAAAACACAUCGGGACCGGACCGCACAUGUCAUGCAUGAUAUAUGCAUAGGGUAGGUUGUUCAGGUGACAACAUUGAUCCGCUUCUGUCGGUCUCCUGGGCGUUGUAUAUCAUCACCAUUAUGCUUCUUUUGAGAUGUGAUAAGAGAACUGGGUCUUCAAUAUUCCUCAAUUCCAAAGCCAUGGUUCCCAAAUGAAGUUAAUGUAUCCCUAGUUGUUUGUGAGUCCACUUGUGCAACAGUAAAGUCUAAAAUCAAUAAAUAAAUGCAAUGUUUCCAGUUAA
Paramisgurnus dabryanus is the source of this 2023-nucleotide long non-coding RNA. RefSeq lists it as uncharacterized. The record is from RefSeq and is a predicted model, not a curated record. NCBI's taxonomy places the organism in Eukaryota, Metazoa, Chordata, Actinopteri, Cypriniformes, Cobitidae.